RNAcentral lists this ribosomal RNA (445 nucleotides) under uncultured bacterium. RNAcentral's name for it is "partial 16S ribosomal RNA". It matches the Rfam family "Bacterial small subunit ribosomal RNA", at positions 354 to 796 of the family's 1533-position model. The record is from RNAcentral.
GUGAGGAAUAUUGGUCAAUGGGCGGGAGCCUGAACCAGCCAAGUCGCGUGAAGGAAGAAGGAUCUAUGGUUCGUAAACUUCUUUUGCAGGGGAAUAAAGUGCAGGACGUGUCCUGUUUUGUAUGUACCCUGAGAAUAAGGAUCGGCUAACUCCGUGCCAGCAGCCGCGGUAAUACGGAGGAUCCGAGCGUUAUCCGGAUUUAUUGGGUUUAAAGGGUGCGUAGGUGGUUUGAUAAGUCAGCGGUGAAAGUUUGCAGCUUAACUGUAAAAAUGCCGUUGAAACUGUCGGACUUGAGUGUAAAUGAGGUAGGCGGAAUGCGUGGUGUAGCGGUGAAAUGCAUAGAUAUCACGCAGAACUCCGAUUGCGAAGGCAGCUUACUGAGCUACAACUGACACUGAAGCACGAAAGCGUGGGGAUCAAACAGGAUUAGAUACCCCGGUAGUCC